This 254-nucleotide ribosomal RNA is filed under the name uncultured bacterium. RNAcentral's name for it is "partial 16S ribosomal RNA". It matches the Rfam family "Bacterial small subunit ribosomal RNA", at positions 524 to 776 of the family's 1533-position model. The record is from RNAcentral.
UACGUAGGGGGCAAGCGUUGUCCGGAUUUAUUGGGCGUAAAGAGCUCGUAGGUGGUUCGGUAAGUCGGAUGUGAAAUCUCCAGGCUCAACCUGGAGGGGUCAUUCGAUACUGCCGUGGCUAGAGUUCGGUAGGGGAGUGUGGAAUUCCUGGUGGAGCGGUGAAAUGCGCAGAUAUCAGGAGGAACACCCGUAGCGAAGGCGGCACUCUGGGCCGAUACUGACACUGAGGAGCGAAAGCGUGGGGAGCGAACAGG